This 205-nucleotide unclassified non-coding RNA is filed under the name Glomeraceae sp. RNAcentral's name for it is "partial contains 5.8S ribosomal RNA and internal transcribed spacer 2". The stretch from base 1 to 65 matches the Rfam family "5.8S ribosomal RNA", at positions 84 to 154 of the family's 154-position model. Lineage: Eukaryota; Fungi; Glomeromycota; Glomeromycetes; Glomerales; Glomeraceae. The record is from RNAcentral.
GUCAAUCAUCAAAUUUUUGAACGCAAAUUGCACUCUCCUCGGAGAGUAUGCCUGUUUGAGGGUCAGCCUAUAAAAAAUCGACAUCGUUGCUGUUUCGCGGUGACGUUCGUCGGAAAUUGGGUCAUCUUAAAUCAUUUUGGUUUUAAGCGACUUAAAAUUUUCUUUUUGGUCCAUGAACGGAUGUAAGGUUUAGUUUUUUUCCCGG